CACCUCUACGGCCACGCCCACACGCCGGCGCCGCCUGGGGUCCUUCCGAGCAUAGAGAUAUGAUUGGCCAGGGAGGAGCGGGCCUCUUUUUCUCCCUGGCCGUCUGAAGGUCUGUCGCCAUCAUGAACGACACAGUAACUAUCCGGACCAGGAAGUUCAUGACCAACCGGCUACUUCAGAGGAAGCAGAUGGUUAUCGAUGUCCUUCACCCUGGAAAGGCAACAGUACCUAAGACAGAAAUUCGGGAAAAACUUGCCAAAAUGUACAAGACCACACCUGAUGUCAUCUUUGUAUUUGGAUUCAGAACCCAUUUUGGUGGUGGCAAGACAACUGGCUUUGGCAUGAUUUAUGAUUCCUUGGAUUAUGCAAAAAAAAAUGAGCCCAAACACAGACUUGCACGACAUGGCCUGUAUGAAAAGAAGAAGACCUCAAGGAAACAGCGGAAAGAACGCAAAAACAGAAUGAAGAAAGUCAGAGGGACUGCAAAGGCCAAUGUUGGGGCUGGCAAAAAGAAGAAAUGAAGUGUCUAGCAGGUACUGUAGCAGGUACUGAGAUGUGAGCUGGAGAUUGGAUAACAGCCAAAGGAAUAAAGAUCCUGCAAUGACUUGACCUGCGAUGAUGGUGAAUUUUUCACAGAGGGAUUAAUAAACUGUAUAAAUCUUC
RNA transcript from Perognathus longimembris pacificus (Pacific pocket mouse), 663 nucleotides. It is a transcript of the gene named ribosomal protein S24, with no coding region annotated. The transcript has 8 exons. The record is from RefSeq and is a predicted model, not a curated record. NCBI's taxonomy places the organism in Eukaryota, Metazoa, Chordata, Mammalia, Rodentia, Heteromyidae.